Molecule: ribosomal RNA, 468 nt
Filed under: uncultured bacterium
Lineage: Bacteria
Description: partial 16S ribosomal RNA
Rfam family: Bacterial small subunit ribosomal RNA
Source: RNAcentral
GACGAACGCUGGCGGCGUGCUUAACACAUGCAAGUCGAACGGAAAGGCCCUGCUUUUGUGGGGUUCUCGAGUGGCGCACGGGUGAGUAACACGUGAGUAACCUGCCCUUGACUUUGGGAUAACUUCAGGAAACUGCGGAUAAUACCGGAUAGGAGCUCCUGCAGCAUGGGGGUGGUUGGAAAGUUUCGGCGGUGGGGGAUCGACUCGCGGCUUCUCAGCUUGUUGGGGGGGUAGUGGCAUACCAAGGCUUUGACGGGUAGCAUGCAUGGGAGGGUAGACAGGGUCAUGAGGCCUACGAGACGCAGCAGACGGCUACGGGAGGCAGCAGUGGGGAAUAUGACACAAUGAGGCGAAGUCUGAUGCGACAACGCUCCGUGCGGGAUGACGUCCUACUUGGUAUGAACCGCUGUCGCCUGAGACGUAGCGUGAGUGACGGUAAUGGGUAAAGAAGCACCGGCUAACUACGUG